AGGGCUUAGCUGGCCUGUGAACAGUUAGUUCCCUGCGUGUUCACAGUGGCUAAGUUCCGC
RNAcentral lists this microRNA precursor (60 nucleotides) under Ornithorhynchus anatinus (platypus). RNAcentral describes it as "Oan-Mir-27-P3_pre stem-loop". It matches the Rfam family "mir-27 microRNA precursor family", at positions 10 to 80 of the family's 80-position model. The record is from RNAcentral. Lineage: Eukaryota; Metazoa; Chordata; Mammalia; Monotremata; Ornithorhynchidae.